CCUACGGGAGGCAGCAGUCGGGAAUAUUGGGCAAUGGGCGCAAGCCUGACCCAGCGACGCCGCGUGAGGGAUGAAGGCCUUCGGGUCGUAAACCUCUGUCAGGAGGGAAGAACGGCAGCAGGCCGAACAGGCCUGCAGUCUGACGGUACCUCCGAAGGAAGCGCCGGCUAACUUCGUGCCAGCAGCCGCGGUAAU
Molecule: ribosomal RNA, 195 nt
Filed under: uncultured bacterium
Lineage: Bacteria
Description: partial 16S ribosomal RNA
Rfam family: Bacterial small subunit ribosomal RNA
Source: RNAcentral